This 253-nucleotide ribosomal RNA is filed under the name uncultured bacterium. RNAcentral's name for it is "partial 16S ribosomal RNA". It matches the Rfam family "Bacterial small subunit ribosomal RNA", at positions 524 to 776 of the family's 1533-position model. The record is from RNAcentral.
UACGGAGGGUGCAAGCGUUAUCCGGAUUCACUGGGUUUAAAGGGUGCGUAGGUGGGCAAGUAAGUCAGUGGUGAAAUCUCCGGGCUUAACCCGGAAACUGCCAUUGAUACUAUUUGUCUUGAAUACUGUGGAGGUCAGCGGAGUAUGUCAUGUAGCGGUGAAAUGCUUAGAUAUGACAUAGAACACCAAUUGCGAAGGCAGCUGGCUACACAAAUAUUGACACUGAGGCACGAAAGCGUGGGGAUCAAACAGG